RNAcentral lists this long non-coding RNA (1715 nucleotides) under Volvox carteri. RNAcentral's name for it is "long non-coding RNA (VCAR_LNC001032)". The record is from RNAcentral. Lineage: Eukaryota; Viridiplantae; Chlorophyta; Chlorophyceae; Chlamydomonadales; Volvocaceae.
ACAAGCGGCUGCUGCAGGCGCAGGCGGCGCUCAGCGACGAAGAUGAGGACUGAUUGUCAAUUAUUAAAUGGUUCAUAACAUUUGGUGGUCUGCAUCUGCGACGGGCAGCAGCAGGAGUAGAAGUAGAAGGAGGGAUGGUGGUUUGGGUGCUUUUGAAGAGGUGAGGAGGUGGAGGAGGACCGUGGCGAAAAGGAGGGGAAAGGGGGGGAUUAUAACAGGAUGGUGAAGGAGAAGAGGAAGAAGAAGAGCAAGAGCACUAGACUGUCAUGUUCUCAUGGACAGGGAGAAGGGUGGUGGUAAGGUAAGGGUCUCCUAUGUGGGGUGGUGAGGCCCAUCUGGCAUGCUGGACAGGACACGUAAGGUACAACACAUAAGGUAAUUUUUCGGUGGCCCCUGAUAACGGUGACCUGUACUCCCGACGGGAGUGGUAUUGGUCUUAGUGGCGGUGGACCCGAAAGCAGGUGGUAAUGCGGCCGCCGACUGGUGGUGGUGUUUUGAGGUCAACCCAGGCGCGCGGCGGUAAUCUAGUAGUGGUCGCGUUGACCCAACCGCAAAGGGCUUUAAGAUAAAGGAGCGGAGGUUGCUGUCGCGGUGGCUGCGCUGUACAGAGGGUACGGGAAGCGGGCCAUAGGAAUGGUGCGGCAGAGGCGGGGCCACGGUAGGGCUGGAGGGGCUGAGGAGCCGCGGGUGAUGGUUAUGUGACUUUAUGUGUUGGGGCGGGAAGUGGGGCAAAUGGGUUUUGGACGAGCGUCCAUCACCAUCCUUAAAUAGCGGAGUCUCUCGGCUGCAACGUUUGCAUAUAUGCACAGACAUACACACACGAACACAUCCUCGUGUAGGUGUAGUGUUGAUUCUUAAAGUUCUGCAUUUCCGCCAUCGCAUGUUUCCGCCUUUGCCGUUGGCCCGCCUAUCUUUUUCCUGGAGCGCGGGAAAGGCAGAUCCUGUCCCAACCUCCCGCAUCCCAAACAAAGUCAAGUAGCGUUACGGGGUCGGCCUCCUAGUCCUAGCUGGCGGGACGGCGCGAGAGGCACAUCGGAGAAGGUAGUGUCGUUGGGCGGUAUAUACUGCAGGCGUUGCGUCCCCAGGUAGGCGAGAGCCGCCCUGUGCAUGAGCCGAGCCAGUCGAGCGAAAGUGUGAUGUGCUUGGGGCCAAAAACUGGCCUGGGCGCUUGGGGGUGGUGAAACUGGUGGUGGGCUGCGAACUUGCCUGAGAAGGUGGCCAGUCUGCGAGCACUCCUCAGCAGCUAGUGUUGUAGUCGUGAUUUCCGAGGAGCAAGUUUGUGCGAAGAUGAGGACGCUUUAUUCGCGGGGCCAGCACGACUGGUAGCUGCUUGUUAUGCCAAUUACAUGGGUGCGAACAAAGUUUGCGCCCGCUUGACUAGGAGGUCCUCUUUGCGGUUGCCCUGCUCCAUCGCUACCGCCGUUACGGGCCGUUGGCAUACAUGUACAUAAUAUGGAUAGGCCGCUGCGAGGAGGCGGUGAGGCAGCCCGACAAACGCGUGAUGCGGGGGACGAUUUGAGGCGGAGAGGAGGUCUUAUAAUUGACACGGAUGUAUGUAUCUGUUGCAUAAAAGGAAGGGAUCAUAGCGUGCUUAUAUCUGCAAAAUUGUGACGACCAGGAACAUCCGAACGACAUGGACGCCAAUUUCUGGGUGGUGACAAGUACACAACUUGCCAGAGCCUACAUGAUAAUCCCUGUGUAAAUCAAGUGGUAUU